GAUGAACGCUGGCGGCGUGCCUAAUACAUGCAAGUCGAGCGAACAGACGAGGAGCUUGCUCCUCUGACGUUAGCGGCGGACGGGUGAGUAACACGUGGAUAACCUACCUAUAAGACUGGGAUAACUUCGGGAAACCGGAGCUAAUACCGGAUAAUAUAUUGAACCGCAUGGUUCAAUAGUGAAAGACGGUUUUGCUGUCACUUAUAGAUGGAUCCGCGCCGCAUUAGCUAGUUGGUAAGGUAACGGCUUACCAAGGCGACGAUGCGUAGCCGACCUGAGAGGGUGAUCUGCCACACUGGAACUGAGACACGGUCCAGACUCCUACGGGAGGCAGCAGUAGGGAAUCUUCCGCAAUGGGCGAAAGCCUGACGGAGCAACGCCGCGUGAGUGAUGAAGGUCUUCGGAUCGUAAAACUCUGUUAUUAGGGAAGAACAAAUGUGUAAGUAACUAUGCACGUCUUGACGGUACCUAAUCAGAAAGCCACGGCUAACUACGUG
Molecule: ribosomal RNA, 497 nt
Filed under: uncultured bacterium
Lineage: Bacteria
Description: partial 16S ribosomal RNA
Rfam family: Bacterial small subunit ribosomal RNA
Source: RNAcentral